CUUCCAAUUCAUCGGAAUCAAUUCGACUGUAAAUCACUGUUUCUCUUAUAUUAAUCAUCAUCAUCAUCCACUCCCAUUCAUUCUAUAACAUUCUUCAAUCCCAUCUUAAUUAGAUGCAUCCUUCCACCUCCCUUUGUUUCUUCACAUAUAUAAAUCCUUUUGUAUCAGUUCACUUUGAACCAUAGUUUACAUCCUCCAUACGACAACAUUGAUCGACAGCCAUGAUAUCCGCUCAUGUUUCCGGGAAGUCUCAAGUUGCCCUCAUCGGCUUCAUCUCAUCUAAUCGUGCUCCACGAUACGAGCCUCAACUCAAACCAGGAGCUAAUUACAGCCUUCAGAAUUUCUUCGCAACCACAAUCGACUAGAUGAACUGUUGGAUUGUAAUCCAGAGACUGCUAAGCUGGUGAAUGAGGAGGAGGUAACUAAGGCUGAGACAAGGGAUCCGCCAAGGUAGAACUAGAGCUGUAGAUAUGCCACUCAAAUCAACAUGCCUAACUACGUAUAUCACCUUGUCGUUGACGAACGCAGGAAGCGUUUUUUUUUUGUCUAUAACUGUUACAAAAGUUGUCUCUUUCUACCACCUCUGACAGUCGCACAGAUGAAACCACAUUUGCUGCAACUGCUGAAUUGCCACUGCUCUCUGCAAAUGUUUUUUUCUGUAUCUUCCAAAGGAUGUGGAGACCUUGCUGAUGAGGGAAUUGGCGGCUCAAGUAACAGUGGCGAAGUACAGGGAGCCAAACGUGCUACACAUGGAAAAUAAUGCAUCAAUCGUUCAUCCCAUAGAUUGGACGCCGAGGUUUCUGUUUCACUUUCGUUCGAGUUCUUAAGUUUUGUUCUGUUAUUGCUAUCUCGCACCUUUUGACCCAACCAAGAAGAAGAAGAUGAAAAUUGUCAUUUUGGAUCCUAUCGAGGACUCAACAGAGUCACAAGCGGAGAAAACUGAUUCAUCCCCUCGAGUUUAUGUGCCGUGAAACUUUGGCUGUUUCUUUUCAAUGGUGUACAUACAUUUUUUUGUUUUUAUUUAUUUUCACUGCAGCUUUUGAUGGCCUUCAAAGUUCAUUUGUUGGACAGAACUCAGUGAGUGUUCUAACGUCUUGCCUCUUUUAAACUCUUUUUUUUUUUGAAACUGGUGUUCUGAUGAUUAUGUAUCUCGCAUUGUUUUUUUUUUCCAAUGGGUGGGUUUAAUCAACCUCACAUUUACAUGAACAGUCGCCACGGUGAUCAGUGGCCUUAUUCUACUAUAGAUUCCAACGACAUCAUAUCUUCACAGUCAAAAAAUGGGGAGAUGAACAUGGCGACUGGAGGACAUCCUAGAAACUGCAGCGAAUCAUACUUGACACUACAAUGUGCUCCAGUUUACUAGAUGUUUCCAAAUGAAAUUUGGUAGGUCAUCAAGAAACUUCUCUAUUUACUUAACCAAGGGGAGUCAUUCACCAAGGUUGUUUUUAUGGUUACAUGCAUUCCAGUUUCAUUCAUCUGAAACCCUGAUGAACGUUUAUAUGUUCCAGUCUAAGACAAUGGUUUGGGAGAAUGAUCUACUUGAUUUUGAAGGAAUUGUCUCCAAGAGCUGAGGUUCGUUGUCCGUAAUUUGCCUUAGUAGCGAAAUCCUAACACUUAUGUUAGGUAUAGAUUCCUCUGCCGAAUAAUAGACGAAACCCUUUUCACACCAACUGAGAGAUACUUGAAACAAGCUAUUGUCGAAAAGAAUCAUGGUGUUUCAAGCUAUCUGCUAUCAUGAUUUUUGCAUGCUUAUUGGUUGCAAAAUCAAUACUUCCCUUAAGAUGGCUGCCAUGAUGGAUGCUUUAGUUACUGCUUGACCUGAAUCAACUUGAAAAGAUUGAAGAUUACUUCUUGGAAGUAUUUUUAAAUAUGAAGCACAAUGCUGCCACUGCCACAUAUAAUACAAAGGCCGUUUACUAUGUUCUAAGACCCAAUUUAUGAUCUAAAAAUUCUUACGUUUCCAUGUGUUUUGUUUCUAUUUUUACUGCUAUUUUGUUUGUGCUUUUUUUGAAU
This is a long non-coding RNA of Brassica oleracea var. oleracea, 2013 nucleotides long. RefSeq lists it as uncharacterized. The transcript has 6 exons. Lineage: Eukaryota; Viridiplantae; Streptophyta; Magnoliopsida; Brassicales; Brassicaceae. The record is from RefSeq and is a predicted model, not a curated record.